This 432-nucleotide ribosomal RNA is filed under the name uncultured bacterium. RNAcentral's name for it is "bacterial SSU rRNA". It matches the Rfam family "Bacterial small subunit ribosomal RNA", at positions 8 to 443 of the family's 1533-position model. The record is from RNAcentral.
AGAGUUUGAUCCUGGCUCAGAAUGAACGUUGGCGGCGUGGAUUAGGCAUGCAAGUCGAGCGAGAACCCGCAAGGGGGACAGCGGCGAACGGGGUAGUAAGGCGUAGGUGACGUGCCCUUAGGACCGGAAUAGCCACGGGAAACUGUGGGUAAUGCCGGAUAAUCUCUUUGGAUUUGAACAUCCGAUGAGCAAUGGGUGUGAUUCCGCCUUUGGAGCGGCUUACGUGGUAUUAGCUAGUUGGUGAGGUAAUGGCUCACCAAGGCGACGAUGCCUAGGGGGUGUGAGAGCAUGGCCCCCACCACUGGGACUGAGAUACUGCCCAGACACCUACGGGUGGCUGCAGUCGAGAAUCUUCGGCAAUGGACGAAAGUCUGACCGAGCGACGCCGCGUGCGGGAUGAAGGCCUUCGGGUUGUAAACCGCUGUCAGAGGG